CCCUUAGAUGUCCGGGGCUGCACGCGCGCUACACUGAAGGAAUCAGCGUGCUAAAACCAUUGUCGAAAGGCAUUGGUAAACCCAUUAAAAUCCUACGUGAUUGGGAUCGGGAAUUGCAAUUAUUUCCCUUGAACGAGGAAUUCCCAGUAAGUGUGGGUCAUAAGCUCGCGUUGAUUACGUCCCUGCCCUUUGUACACACCGCCCGUCGCUGCCCGGGACUGAGCCGUUUCGAGAAAAGCGGGGACUGCUGCUGUCGGGGCUUUCGGGCCUUGGCUUCGGUGGGAACCGCUUUAAUCGCAGUGGCUUGAACCGGGCAAAANUCGUANCA
Molecule: ribosomal RNA, 328 nt
Filed under: uncultured eukaryote
Lineage: Eukaryota
Description: partial 18S ribosomal RNA
Rfam family: Eukaryotic small subunit ribosomal RNA
Source: RNAcentral